Small nucleolar RNA from Hypomesus transpacificus, 82 nucleotides. RefSeq annotates it as small nucleolar RNA SNORD100. The transcript has a single exon. NCBI's taxonomy places the organism in Eukaryota, Metazoa, Chordata, Actinopteri, Osmeriformes, Osmeridae. The record is from RefSeq and is a predicted model, not a curated record.
UGUAUCAGUGAUUAUUUUGGCUCCCUCUACUGAAUAUUAUGAGGAUACUGCCAUCGUUACCCAAUUCAUUGUCUGAGAUACA